Molecule: ribosomal RNA, 347 nt
Filed under: uncultured bacterium
Lineage: Bacteria
Description: partial 16S ribosomal RNA
Rfam family: Bacterial small subunit ribosomal RNA
Source: RNAcentral
CCUACGGGUGGCAGCAGUGAGGAAUAUUGGUCAAUGGCCGGAAGGCUGAACCAGCCAUGCCGCGUGAAGGGCAGGGCCCUAGGGGCGGUAAACUUCUUUUGUGCGGGAGCAAGAAUGGUCACGUGUGGCCAGACGAGAGUACCGUACGAAUAAGCAGCGGCUAACUCCGUGCCAGCAGCCGCGGUAAUACGGGGGAUGCAAGCGUUAUCCUGAUUUAUUGGGGUUAAAGGGUGCGUAGGCUGUGAGGUAAGUCAGCGGUGAAAUGCCCCCGCUCAACGGGGUGAAGUGCCAUUGAUACUGCCUUGCUGGACUGCGGCUGCCGUGGGAGGAAUGUGUGGUGUAGCGGU